This 1929-nucleotide ribosomal RNA is filed under the name Staphylococcus sp. HMSC067F07. RNAcentral's name for it is "bacterial LSU rRNA". It matches the Rfam family "Bacterial large subunit ribosomal RNA", at positions 1 to 1928 of the family's 2925-position model. Lineage: Bacteria; Bacillati; Bacillota; Bacilli; Caryophanales; Staphylococcaceae. The record is from RNAcentral.
AGAUUAAGUUAUUAAGGGCGCACGGUGGAUGCCUUGGCACUAGAAGCCGAAGAAGGACGUUACUAACGACGAUAUGCUUUGGGUAGCUGUAAGUAAGCGUUGAUCCAGAGAUUUCCGAAUGGGGGAACCCAACAUGAGUUAUGUCAUGUUAUCGACAUGUGAAUUCAUAGCAUGUCAGAAGGCAGACCCGGAGAACUGAAACAUCUUAGUACCCGGAGGAAGAGAAAGAAAAAUCGAUUCCCUGAGUAGCGGCGAGCGAAACGGGAAGAGCCCAAACCAACAAGCUUGCUUGUUGGGGUUGUAGGACACUCUAUACGGAGUUACAAAAGAACAUGUUAGACGAAUCAUCUGGAAAGAUGAAUCAAAGAAGGUAAUAAUCCUGUAGUCGAAAACAUAUUCUCUCUUGAGUGGAUCCUGAGUACGACGGAGCACGUGAAAUUCCGUCGGAAUCUAGGAGGACCAUCUCCUAAGGCUAAAUACUCUCUAGUGACCGAUAGUGAACCAGUACCGUGAGGGAAAGGUGAAAAGUACCCCGGAAGGGGAGUGAAAGAGAACUUGAAACCGUGUGCUUACAAGUAGUCAGAGCCCGUUUAUGGGUGAUGGCGUGCCUUUUGUAGAAUGAACCGGCGAGUUACGAUCUGAUGCAAGGUUAAGCAGCGAAUGUGGAGCCGUAGCGAAAGCGAGUCUGAAUAGGGCGUUGAGUAUUUGGUCGUAGACCCGAAACCAGGUGAUCUACCCUUGGUCAGGUUGAAGUUCAGGUAACACUGAAUGGAGGACCGAACCGACUUACGUUGAAAAGUGAGCGGAUGAACUGAGGGUAGCGGAGAAAUUCCAAUCGAACUUGGAGAUAGCUGGUUCUCUCCGAAAUAGCUUUAGGGCUAGCCUCAAGUGAUGAUUAUUGGAGGUAGAGCACUGUUUGGACGAGGGGCCCCUCUCGGGUUACCGAAUUCAGACAAACUCCGAAUGCCAAUCAAUUUAACUUGGGAGUCAGAACAUGGGUGAUAAGGUCCGUGUUCGAAAGGGAAACAGCCCAGACCACCAGCUAAGGUCCCAAAAUAUAUGUUAAGUGGAAAAGGAUGUGGCGUUGCCCAGACAACUAGGAUGUUGGCUUAGAAGCAGCCAUCAUUUAAAGAGUGCGUAAUAGCUCACUAGUCGAGUGACACUGCGCCGAAAAUGUACCGGGGCUAAACAUAUUACCGAAGCUGUGGAUUGUCCUUCGGACAAUGGUAGGAGAGCGUUCUAAGGGCGUUGAAGCAUGAUCGCAAGGACAUGUGGAGCGCUUAGAAGUGAGAAUGCCGGUGUGAGUAGCGAAAGACGGGUGAGAAUCCCGUCCACCGAUUGACUAAGGUUUCCAGAGGAAGGCUCGUCCGCUCUGGGUUAGUCGGGUCCUAAGCUGAGGCCGACAGGCGUAGGCGAUGGAUAACAGGUUGAUAUUCCUGUACCACCUAGUAUCGUUUUAAUCGAUGGGGGGACGCAGUAGGAUAGGCGAAGCGUGCUGUUGGAGUGCACGUCCAAGCAGUAAGGCUGAGUGUUAGGCAAAUCCGGCACUCGUUAGGCUGAGCUGUGAUGGGGAGAGGAAAUUGUUUCCUUGAGUCGUUGAUUUCACACUGCCGAGAAAAGCCUCUAGAUAGAUAACAGGUGCCCGUACCGCAAACCGACACAGGUAGUCAAGAUGAGAAUUCUAAGGUGAGCGAGCGAACUCUCGUUAAGGAACUCGGCAAAAUGACCCCGUAACUUCGGGAGAAGGGGUGCUCUUUAGGGUUCACGCCCAGAAGAGCCGCAGUGAAUAGGCCCAAGCGACUGUUUAUCAAAAACACAGGUCUCUGCUAAACCGUAAGGUGAUGUAUAGGGGCUGACGCCUGCCCGGUGCUGGAAGGUUAAGAGGAGUGGUUAGCUUCUGCGAAGCCACGAAUCGAAGCCCCAGUAAAC